CUGUGCUAGACGGGGAACUAGCGGUGCCCUGUACCCGCAAUCCGCUCCAGCGGGGUUGAAUUCCUGCUCGAGGGCCGAUGCAUCGGGGACUGCCCCUGCCAAAGAACGUUGACGACCUGGUCCUGCGCGGCGAUGCACUUCGAACCUGGUCAGGUCCGGAAGGAAGCAGCCAUAAGGAGCCCGCUUCGGGUGCCGCAGGUACACCGGGUCUGAGUUUGCUGGCAAUGGGCAAGCCCGGUACCAGGUUCGACAGCAGGUGCACAG
Molecule: signal recognition particle RNA, 264 nt
Filed under: Dehalococcoidia bacterium
Lineage: Bacteria; Bacillati; Chloroflexota; Dehalococcoidia
Also listed under: 1 other name
Description: signal recognition particle sRNA large type
Rfam family: Bacterial large signal recognition particle RNA
About the family: The signal recognition particle (SRP) is a universally conserved ribonucleoprotein involved in the co-translational targeting of proteins to membranes. Archaeal SRP consists of a 7S RNA and homologues of the eukaryotic SRP19 and SRP54 proteins. In most bacteria, the SRP consists of a 4.5S RNA and the Ffh protein (a homologue of the eukaryotic SRP54 protein).
Source: RNAcentral